This is a long non-coding RNA of Syzygium oleosum, 696 nucleotides long. RefSeq lists it as uncharacterized. NCBI's taxonomy places the organism in Eukaryota, Viridiplantae, Streptophyta, Magnoliopsida, Myrtales, Myrtaceae. The transcript is spliced from 2 exons. The record is from RefSeq and is a predicted model, not a curated record.
UCACACCUUUGAAAUUCCAAAGCAUCCGUUUCGCCACACACGCACACCCCCCAAACCCAUCCACAGACUCACUCACUCUCACACACACGCCACUCUCUCUCUACACUCUCGUAAUCGAACGAAUUUCCGGCGAGAAGCGACGAUUUCCUCACCGUUCGCCGGCCCUCCGUCUCGCGGCUGCGGACCCCUGCAUUUCCCGGCGGAUUCCUCCGGCAAUCGCCCCGGAUCAGCCCGAGCGAAACGGGUCGACCGGUGCGUGUCUGGAAGCGCUAGUCAGUGCUCCGAGCUUCGCGCGUGUGGAGCAUUUCGAGUAGCUUCUGGGGAGAGCAAGCUGAGUUGGGGGUAAUCAUGGUGGUCCUUGGUGCCAUGGUGCUGAAUUGGGGGGAAAUCCAGCUGCUGUGAUCGAGAUGCUCUUAUUGGGUGUUUGGUGUCGUGGCUCAGUUCCUUGUCUUGGGAUCCAUAGGGGUGCUGAGUUUGGGUCGGGUGACGUGGUAGUUUUCGUUUGACUCGGAAUGAUUUUCUUUGGGUCUAGAUCUGAGUCCGAUUUCGGAAAAUGUUAAAUUCCUUCUCCUUACCACGUGCAUACCACAUGCUCUACCAAAUGUUUGAACCAGACUCACACAAGCUUGUCUCUGUGCCAUAUGUACGAACUGACCACCAUAUGUUUGUAAUAAUGUUUGAAUGAAGCUAUGUUUA